UACAACUCUGAGCGGUGGAUCACUCGGCUCGUGUGUCGAUGAAGAGCGCAGCCAACUGUGUGAAUUAAUGUGAACUGCAUAMUGCUUUGAGCAUCGACA
Molecule: ribosomal RNA, 99 nt
Filed under: Digenea fam. A sp. BB.CV.1
Lineage: Eukaryota; Metazoa; Platyhelminthes; Trematoda
Description: partial 5.8S ribosomal RNA
Rfam family: 5.8S ribosomal RNA
About the family: 5.8S ribosomal RNA (5.8S rRNA) is a component of the large subunit of the eukaryotic ribosome. It is transcribed by RNA polymerase I as part of the 45S precursor that also contains 18S and 28S rRNA.
Source: RNAcentral